Molecule: ribosomal RNA, 259 nt
Filed under: uncultured bacterium
Lineage: Bacteria
Description: partial 16S ribosomal RNA
Rfam family: Bacterial small subunit ribosomal RNA
Source: RNAcentral
AGUAACGCGUGGAGAACCUGCCGUAUACUGGGGGAUAACACUUAGAAAUAGGUGCUAAUACCGCAUAAGCGCACAGCUUCGCAUGAAGCAGUGUGGAAAACAAAAAGCUAAAGCUUUUGGUGGUAUACGAUGGAUCCGCGUCUGAUUAGCUGGUUGGCGGGGUAAAGGCCCACCAAGGCGACGAUCAGUAGCCGGCCUGAGAGGGUGAACGGCCACAUUGGGACUGAGACACGGCCCAAACUCCUACGGGAGGCAGCAG